RNAcentral lists this ribosomal RNA (433 nucleotides) under uncultured bacterium. RNAcentral describes it as "partial 16S ribosomal RNA". It matches the Rfam family "Bacterial small subunit ribosomal RNA", at positions 29 to 507 of the family's 1533-position model. The record is from RNAcentral.
AGCGAACGCUGGCGGCAGGCUUAACACAUGCAAGUCGAGCGGGCACUUCGGUGUCAGCGGCAGACGGGUGAGUAACACGUGGGAACGUACCCUUUGGUUCGGAAUAACGCUGGGAAACUAGCGCUAAUACCGGAUACGCCCUUUUAGGGAAAGGCUUGCUGCCGAAGGAUCGGCCCGCGUCUGAUUAGCUAGUUGGUGGGGUAAUGGCCUACCAAGGCGACGAUCAGUAGCUGGUCUGAGAGGAUGAUCAGCCACACUGGGACUGAGACACGGCCCAGACUCCUACGGGAGGCAGCAGUGGGGAAUAUUGGACAAUGGGCGCAAGCCUGAUCCAGCCAUGCCGCGUGAGUGAUGAAGGCCUUAGGGUUGUAAAGCUCUUUUGUCCGGGACGAUAAUGACGGUACCGGAAGAAUAAGCCCCGGCUAACUUCGUG